Molecule: ribosomal RNA, 292 nt
Filed under: uncultured bacterium
Lineage: Bacteria
Description: partial 16S ribosomal RNA
Rfam family: Bacterial small subunit ribosomal RNA
Source: RNAcentral
GUGUCAGCAGCCGCGGUAAUACAGAGGUCUCAAGCGUUGUUCGGAAUUACUGGGCGUAAAGGGUGCGCAGGCCGCGCGGGCAGUCAAAUGUGAAAUUCAGGGGCUCAACCCCUGCAUUGCGCUUGAUACUUCCGCGCUAGAACCUUGGAGAGGGAUCUGGAAUUCUCGGUGUAGCAGUGAAAUGCGUGGAUAUCGAGAAGAACACUAACGGCGUAAGCAAGAUCCUGGACAAGUGUUGACGCUCAUGCACGAAGGCUAGGGGAGCGAACGGGAUUAGAAACCCGCGUAGUCC